ACAUGCAAGUCGAACGGUAACAGGCCUUCGGGCGCUGACGAGUGGCGGACGGGUGCGUAACGCGUGGGAAUCUGCCCAAUAGUGGGGGAUAACCCGGGGAAACUCGGGCUAAUACCGCAUACUCCCCAAGGGGGAAAGCGGGGGACCGCAAGGCCUCGCGCUAUUGGAUGAGCCCGCGUCCGAUUAGCUAGUUGGUGGGGUAAAGGCCUACCAAGGCGACGAUCGGUAGCUGGUCUGAGAGGAUGAUCCGCCACACUGGGACUGAGACACGGCCCAGACUCCUACGGGAGGCAGCAGUGGGGAAUAUUGGACAAUGGGGGGAACCCUGAUCCAGCCAUGCCGCGUGUGUGAAGAAGGCCUUAUGGUUGUAAAGCACUUUAAGCGAGGAGGAGGCUACUGAGACUAAUACUCUUGGAUAGUGGACGUUACUCGCAGAAUAAGCACCGGCUAACUCUGUGCCAGCAGCCGCGGUAAUACAGAGGGUGCGAGCGUUAAUCGGAUUUACUGGGCGUAAAGCGUGCGUAGGCGGCUUUUUAAGUCGGAUGUGAAAUCCCCGAGCUUAACUUGGGAAUUGCAUUCGAUACUGGGAAGCUAGAGUAUGGGAGAGGAUGGUAGAAUUUCCAGGUGUAGCGGUGAAAAUGCGUAGAGAUCUGGAGGAAUACCGAUG
RNAcentral lists this ribosomal RNA (667 nucleotides) under uncultured Acinetobacter sp. RNAcentral's name for it is "bacterial SSU rRNA". It matches the Rfam family "Bacterial small subunit ribosomal RNA", at positions 53 to 714 of the family's 1533-position model. The record is from RNAcentral. Lineage: Bacteria; Pseudomonadati; Pseudomonadota; Gammaproteobacteria; Moraxellales; Moraxellaceae.